This 235-nucleotide unclassified non-coding RNA is filed under the name Hevea brasiliensis (rubber tree). The record is from RNAcentral. Lineage: Eukaryota; Viridiplantae; Streptophyta; Magnoliopsida; Malpighiales; Euphorbiaceae.
UUAAGUUUCCGAUGGAAUUUAAGGGCAUCUCACCGGAUAGACCAUAUCCGGGGAGACGGAGUUCAAUAACACGGUUGAUUGUAGUAUCACAUGUGACACCUUCCCAUGAGCAUGGGAUUGAAUUGGUUGUGUUCCACCUAAGAGUGCGGCCUCUGAAGGCCGCACUCAGGUGGAGUAGACCGGCUCUAUCCGCGUUAAGGUCCGAAAAGAUGCCGGAAAUUAGAAGAGAAAGGAA